This 323-nucleotide ribosomal RNA is filed under the name uncultured archaeon. RNAcentral describes it as "bacterial SSU rRNA". It matches the Rfam family "Archaeal small subunit ribosomal RNA", at positions 321 to 648 of the family's 1478-position model. The record is from RNAcentral.
CCCUACGGGGCGCAGCAGGCGCGAAAACUUUACAAUGCGGAAAACCGUGAUAAGGGAACUCCGAGUGCCCGUAAAAUCGGGCUGUCCAUCAGUUUAAAAAACUGGUGAAGAAAGGGCCGGGCAAGACCGGUGCCAGCCGCCGCGGUAAUACCGGCGGCUCGAGUGGUGGCCACUAUUACUGGGCUUAAAGCGUUCGUAGCUGGUUUGUUAAGUCUCUGGGGAAAUCUUCCGGCUUAACCGGAAGGCGUCUCAGGGAUACUGGCAGACUAGGGACCGGAAGAGGUGAGGGGUACUCCAGGGGUAGGAGUGAAAUCCUGUAAUCC